This 433-nucleotide ribosomal RNA is filed under the name uncultured bacterium. RNAcentral's name for it is "partial 16S ribosomal RNA". It matches the Rfam family "Bacterial small subunit ribosomal RNA", at positions 29 to 507 of the family's 1533-position model. The record is from RNAcentral.
AACGAACGCUGGCGGCAUGCCUAACACAUGCAAGUCGAACGAGACCUUCGGGCCUAGUGGCGCACGGGUGCGUAACGCGUGGGAACCUGCCCUUAGGUUCGGAAUAACUCCCCGAAAGGGGUGCUAAUACCGGAUAAUGUCUUCGGACCAAAGUUUUAUCGCCUUUGGAUGGGCCCGCGUUGGAUUAGCUAGUUGGUAGGGUAAAAGCCUACCAAGGCGACGAUCCAUAGCUGGUCUGAGAGGAUGAUCAGCCACACUGGGACUGAGACACGGCCCAGACUCCUACGGGAGGCAGCAGUGGGGAAUAUUGGACACUGGGCGAGAGCCUGAUCCAGCAAUGCCGCGUGAGUGAUGAAGGCCUUAGGGUUGUAAAGCUCUUUUACCCGGGAUGAUGAUGACAGUACCGGGAGAAUAAGCUCCGGCUAACUCCGUG